Molecule: ribosomal RNA, 460 nt
Filed under: uncultured bacterium
Lineage: Bacteria
Description: partial 16S ribosomal RNA
Rfam family: Bacterial small subunit ribosomal RNA
Source: RNAcentral
CCUACGGGAUGCAGCAGUGAGGAAUAUUGGUCAAUGGACGAGAGUCUGAACCAGCCAAGUAGCGUGAAGGAUGACUGCCCUAUGGGUUGUAAACUUCUUUUAUAUGGGAAUAAAAUGUUCCACGUGUGGGAUUUUGUAUGUACCAUAUGAAUAAGGAUCGGCUAACUCCGUGCCAGCAGCCGCGGUAAUACGGAGGAUCCGAGCGUUAUCCGGAUUUAUUGGGUUUAAAGGGAGCGUAGGUGGAUUGUUAAGUCAGUUGUGAAAGUUUGCGGCUCAACCGUAAAAUUGCAGUUGAAACUGGCAGUCUUGAGUACAGUAGAGGUGGGCGGAAUUCGAGGUGUAGCGGUGAAAUGCUUAGAUAUCACGAAGAACUCCGAUUGCGAAGGCAGUUCACUGGACUGCAACUGACACUGAGGCUCGAAAGUGUGGGUAUCAAACAGGAUUAGAUACCCCAGUAGUC